GUGUUACUUCGGUAGCACACAUACUAACAUUGGAACGAUACAGAGAAGAUUAGCAUGGCCCCCUGCGCAAGGAUGACACGCAAACGCGUUGCUCAACUCCUUCCUUUU
RNAcentral lists this small nuclear RNA (108 nucleotides) under Kryptolebias marmoratus (mangrove rivulus). The record is from RNAcentral. Lineage: Eukaryota; Metazoa; Chordata; Actinopteri; Cyprinodontiformes; Rivulidae.